RNAcentral lists this ribosomal RNA (321 nucleotides) under Klebsiella pneumoniae. RNAcentral describes it as "bacterial SSU rRNA". It matches the Rfam family "Bacterial small subunit ribosomal RNA", at positions 139 to 465 of the family's 1533-position model. The record is from RNAcentral. Lineage: Bacteria; Pseudomonadati; Pseudomonadota; Gammaproteobacteria; Enterobacterales; Enterobacteriaceae.
CUGGAACUGAGACACGGUCCAGACUCCUACGGGAGGCAGCAGUGGGGAAUAUUGCACAAUGGGCGCAAGCCUGAUGCAGACAUGCCAAGAUAGGAUUAGCUGGUAGGUGGAGUUACGGCACAACUAGGCUACGAUCCCUAGCUGUUAUGAGAGGAUGACCAGCCACACUGGAACUGAGACACGGACCAUACUCCUACGGGAGGCAGCAGUGGGGAAUAUUGUACAAUGGGCGCAAGCCUGAUGCAGCCAUUCCUCAUGUGUGAAGAAGGCCUUCGAGUUGUAAAGCACUUUCAGCGGGGAGGAAGGCGAUAAGGUUAAUAA